CACACUUCUCACACGCAUCGCAUCGGGCAUCACGCCCAGAGCACACUGAGGACACUUGGCCCAGCCUGGUGCUGAAACGUUUGUGUCCGGCGUCCGCGGAGAAGGGAUCUUCCACAGAGGACACCUGGGGUAAACGGGACACACGGAGUCACCGCUGCACCGCACAUUCUCCUUAAAAGCAGCAACCUCGCCUUCGCUCAAGGCUCUCGGUGUGAUGUGUGUGUCCUUCGUGAGACGCCGUCCACGCCAAGGCCAGGAAGACCAAGCCUCCUGAAGUCGCUGGGCACCCACCUGAGAUGCCCAGCGCUGGCCCACGUCCCCACUGUUUCUGAACCAAGUCAUCCACAACAAAAUGCACCCUCUCCCAGGAACCACAGACACGGAGCUGAAAACAACUCAGCGAGCAAGCCCACAAUGGCAGAGCCAGGGAGAGGCGCUCCCCGGCAUGGUCACCCAGGGACAGCACCACGGGAGGCCGGGCAGCUGACCGCACACCAGGGCCUAGCAGCGCCGGGACUGGGCGCCCGGAGCUGAGCAGCAGAGAAGCACCGCUGGCCCACCCAGCACCGCAAGGCUGGGGAUUCCCCCGCCAGGGACAGGGCUCAGGGCUGGGGUCUCAGGGCCUCGGCUCUCAGGGCCCUUCCGGCUGGAGGCUCCACGACCUGUUCGACACAUGCGGGGCAGGAUCCUGGGGGACGGGAACCGGGAUCUAUUUUUGCCGUUAAGACCCUCCUGGUUUCCCCGGAUCCCUCUGGUCCCUCUCCCUGCACGGGGCGGGACUAGGUUUCAUCCCAGCCUUCCCCAUCCAAGC
Molecule: long non-coding RNA, 811 nt
Filed under: Heterocephalus glaber (naked mole-rat)
Lineage: Eukaryota; Metazoa; Chordata; Mammalia; Rodentia; Bathyergidae
Description: lncRNA (ENSHGLG00000050790.1)
Source: RNAcentral